AUUGAACGCUGGCGGCAGGCCUAACACAUGCAAGUCGAGCGGAUGAAGGGAGCUUGCUCCUGGAUUCAGCGGCGGACGGGUGAGUAAUGCCUAGGAAUCUGCCUGGUAGUGGGGGAUAACGUCCGGAAACGGGCGCUAAUACCGCAUACGUCCUGAGGGAGAAAGUGGGGGAUCUUCGGACCUCACGCUAUCAGAUGAGCCUAGGUCGGAUUAGCUAGUUGGUGGGGUAAAGGCCUACCAAGGCGACGAUCCGUAACUGGUCUGAGAGGAUGAUCAGUCAAACUGGAAAUGAGAGACGGUCCAGACACAUACGGGAGGCAGCAGUGGGGAAUAUUGGACAAUGGGCGAAAGCAUGAUCCAGCCAUGCCGCGUGUGUGAAGAAGGUCUUCGGAUUGUAAGCACUUUAAGUUGGGAGGAAGGGCAGUAAGUUAAUACCUUGCUGUUUUGACGUUACCAACAGAAUAAGCACCGGCUAACUUCGUG
Molecule: ribosomal RNA, 483 nt
Filed under: uncultured bacterium
Lineage: Bacteria
Description: partial 16S ribosomal RNA
Rfam family: Bacterial small subunit ribosomal RNA
Source: RNAcentral